This is an unclassified non-coding RNA of Vombatus ursinus (common wombat), 298 nucleotides long. It matches the Rfam family "Metazoan signal recognition particle RNA". From Rfam's summary of the family: The signal recognition particle (SRP) is a universally conserved ribonucleoprotein. It is involved in the co-translational targeting of proteins to membranes. Lineage: Eukaryota; Metazoa; Chordata; Mammalia; Diprotodontia; Vombatidae. The record is from Ensembl.
GCCAGGUGUGAUGGUACAUGCUUGUAGUCCUCUCCUCCUGUGGACACUGAAGCUGGUAGAUUACUUGAAUUCAGGAGUUCUGAAAUACAGUGAGCUAUGCAGGUUGGGUAUCCACACAAAGUUUGACACAAAUGGGGAAUCCCUGGGGAAAAGGAGCCAGCGGGCUGUCUAAGGAGGGUGAAACUACCCAUGUCAGAAUCAAAGCAGGUAAAAGUUUCUAUGCCAAUCAGUAGUGGGGUCAGGCCCAUAAGUGGUUACUGCACUUCCUGUCUGGAUGAGAUAGUGAGAUCUAUGACUU